Molecule: small RNA, 19 nt
Filed under: Arabidopsis thaliana (thale cress)
Lineage: Eukaryota; Viridiplantae; Streptophyta; Magnoliopsida; Brassicales; Brassicaceae
Description: ATSL132050
Source: RNAcentral
AACAAGAAGAAGAAAAAAU